This 497-nucleotide ribosomal RNA is filed under the name uncultured bacterium. RNAcentral's name for it is "partial 16S ribosomal RNA". It matches the Rfam family "Bacterial small subunit ribosomal RNA", at positions 28 to 507 of the family's 1533-position model. The record is from RNAcentral.
GAUGAACGCUGGCGGCGUGCCUAAUACAUGCAAGUCGAGCGAACAGACGAGGAGCUUGCUCCUCUGACGUUAGCGGCGGACGGGUGAGUAACACGUGGAUAACCUACCUAUAAGACUGGGAUAACUUCGGGAAACCGGAGCUAAUACCGGAUAAUAUAUUGAACCGCAUGGUUCAAUAGUGAAAGACGGUUUUGCUGUCACUUAUAGAUGGAUCCGCGCCGCAUUAGCUAGUUGGUAAGGUAACGGCUUACCAAGGCGACGAUGCGUAGCCGACCUGAGAGGGUGAUCGGCCACACUGGAACUGAGACACGGUCCAGACUCCUACGGGAGGCAGCAGUAGGGAAUCUUCCGCAAUGGGCGAAAGCUUGACGGAGCGACGCCGCGUGAGUGAUGAAGGUCUUCGGAUCGUAAAACUCUGUUAUUAGGGAAGAACAAAUGUGUAAGUAACUAUGCACGUCUUGACGGUACCUAAUCAGAAAGCCACGGCUAACUACGUG